Molecule: long non-coding RNA, 489 nt
Organism: Rhineura floridana
Lineage: Eukaryota; Metazoa; Chordata; Lepidosauria; Squamata; Rhineuridae
Exons: 3
Source: RefSeq, a predicted model, not a curated record
CAUCAGAAUUCGGUCUGUGGUGUUCGUUUUGUGUGGGGCUGGAUAAAGAAUUUGAACUGCGCAGGCAGAGAAAAGGAAACAGAUGUCCAUUGACAAGAUUGUAUAUAGGGCCAUCAGACCAGAAGAAGAGACAAGAGCACUAGCAUCCAGCAGCAAAUGGCGCAUUACAACAGAGCAUCAGAAGCUGUGGAAUGAAAGAUGGCCACGAUGACCACAGUGAGGCUGAAUUAAUCAACCAGGGGGAUUUACCCACAUGGAUUGCACAGCAGCUGCUUCUAAGUGCUGAUGGUUCUAAUAAUGCAAAUAGAUCUGAGAAGAAGAAAAGGACUGUGUUGACUUCAUGAAGGCAUCAGAACCUGCAUAUGCAGGUCAUCUUUCUGUAGGUUUCUGCUCUGCUAUUCCUAUAGGAAAGUGGUAUCCUGUUUCAUUCAAGAGGUGAAGUUUUUUAAAUCCAGGUUGGGAAAGCAAUGCAGACAGGAGAAGAAAUCA